AUGGCUGUCGUCAGCUCGUGUCGUGAGAUGUUGGGUUAAGUCCCGCAACGAGCGCAACCCUCAUCUUUAGUUGCCACCAGUUCGGCUGGGCACUCUAGAGAAACUGCCUGGGAUGACCAGGAGGAAGGCGAGGAUGACGUCAAGUCCUCAUGGCCCUUAUGGGCUGGGCUACACACGUGCUACAAUGGCGGUGACAAAGGGACGCAAUAGGGCAACCUGGAGCAAAUCCCAAAAAACCGUCUCAGUUCGGAUUGUUCUCUGCAACUCGAGAGCAUGAAGUUGGAAUCGCUAGUAAUCGUAGAUCAGCAUGCUACGGUGAAUACGUUCCCGGGCCUUGUACACACCGCCCGUCACACCAUGGGAGUUGGUUUUACCCGAAGACGGUAUCCUAACCUUUUUGGAGGGAGCCGGCCACGGUAGGGUCAGCGACUGGGGUGAAGUCGUAACAAGGUAGCCGUAGGGGAACCUGCGGCUGGAUCACCUCCUUUCUAAGGAAAGUAUAAGAUAUAAAUUGCCGCCGUCUUUGAAUCUCUUCUUCUUAAACUUAAUUUUUAUAGGUUUGCUACAGCUAUAGGCGCGUAGCUCAGCUGGUUAGAGCGCACGACUGAUAAUCGUGAGGUCGGCAGUUCAAAUCUGCCCGUGCCUACCACUGCUUAUACAAAGAUUAUUUUGAGAUAAUAUUAAUAAAGUAGAGAAAAUUUUUUGACAUUAGUGUCAAUCUGUUUGAAAUAGUUGGUGAAGAUGAUCCCAAAUAAUAGGGCAAUAUAAUAAGUGUUGUAUUGUCCAGCUUACGGAUUGUACUUAGUAUUAUAUACCUCAAGAUUAUAUAAUACUAGAAUAGUGAUGGUUGUCUGACCGGUUACUAUUUUCAUGUACGGUCCGAUCAAGCGUCUUGAAGAGCAUUUGGUGGAUGCCUUGGUACAGAGAGGCGAUGAAGGACGUGACACGCUGCGAUAAGCUGUGGGGAGCCGUGAGUAGGCUUUGAUCCGCAGAUUUCCGAAUGGGGAAACCCGG
RNAcentral lists this small RNA (1014 nucleotides) under uncultured bacterium. RNAcentral's name for it is "bacterial SSU rRNA". The stretch from base 1 to 488 matches the Rfam family "Bacterial small subunit ribosomal RNA", at positions 1045 to 1533 of the family's 1533-position model. The record is from RNAcentral.